ACGAACGCUGGCGGCGUGCUUAACACAUGCCAGUCGCACGGAAAGGCCCUGCUUUUGUGGGGUGCUCGAGUGGCGAACGGGUGAGUAACACGUGAGUAACCUGCCCUUGACUUUGGGAUAACUUCAGGAAACUGGGGCUAAUACCGGAUAGGAGCUCCUGCUGCAUGGUGGGGGUUGGAAAGUUUCGGCGGUUGGGGAUGGACUCGCGGCUUAUCAGCUUGUUGGUGGGGUAGUGGCUUACCAAGGCUUUGACGGGUAGCCGGCCUGAGAGGGUGACCGGCCACAUUGGGACUGAGAUACGGCCCAGACUCCUACGGGAGGCAGCAGUGGGGAAUAUUGCACAAUGGGCGGAAGCCUGAUGCAGCAACGCCGCGUGCGGGAUGACGGCCUUCGGGUUGUAAACCGCUUUCGCCUGUGACGAAGCGUGAAUGACGGUAAUGGGUAAAGAAGCACCGGCUAACUACGUG
RNAcentral lists this ribosomal RNA (467 nucleotides) under uncultured bacterium. Its description in RNAcentral is "partial 16S ribosomal RNA". It matches the Rfam family "Bacterial small subunit ribosomal RNA", at positions 29 to 507 of the family's 1533-position model. The record is from RNAcentral.